GGGUUCUUGUGGAGGGGGACCUGGCUGCAGCUGAGCUGGCUGGCUAGGCAGGUGCCCCUUCCUCCCUCACCAGUCCAAGUGCAUCCUUCCCAGAGCUGUGCACUCUAUUGAAGAGUAUGGCCUCCUCAGAAUAGAGAUGGACUGGGAGUCGGGUGGUAGCAUAGCGGGUUAAGCACACAUGGCGCAAAGAGCAAGGACUGGCAUAAGGAUCCCGGUUUGAGCCCCCGUCUCCCCACCUGCAGGGGAGUCGCUUCACAGAUGGUGAAGCAGGUCUGCAGGUGUCUGUCUUUCUCU
RNAcentral lists this small nuclear RNA (294 nucleotides) under Erinaceus europaeus (western European hedgehog). Its description in RNAcentral is "7SK RNA (ENSEEUG00000023329.1)". It matches the Rfam family "7SK RNA", at positions 50 to 331 of the family's 331-position model. Rfam says of the family: 7SK was discovered as an abundant small nuclear RNA in the mid-70s but a possible function has only recently been suggested. Two independent studies have found that 7SK RNA binds the CDK9/cyclin T complex (known as elongation factor P-TEFb). Lineage: Eukaryota; Metazoa; Chordata; Mammalia; Eulipotyphla; Erinaceidae. The record is from RNAcentral.